Molecule: ribosomal RNA, 252 nt
Filed under: uncultured bacterium
Lineage: Bacteria
Description: partial 16S ribosomal RNA
Rfam family: Bacterial small subunit ribosomal RNA
Source: RNAcentral
GCAAGAGGGCGACCUGGAGCAAAUCCCAAAAAUAACGUCCCAGUUCGGACUGCAGUCUGCAACUCGAUUGCACGAAGCUGGAAUCGCUAGUAAUCGCGAAUCAGAAUGUCGCGGUGAAUACGUUCCCGGGUCUUGUACACACCGCCCGUCACACCAUGGGAGUCGGAAAUGCCCGAAGCCGGUGACCCAACCAAAAGGAGGGAGCCGUCGAAGGCAGGUCUGAUAACUGGGGUGAAGUCGUAACAAGGUAUC